CCGGCUCUACGAAGUUCCCUCAAUGCAUUCCCAUGCAGAGUGACAUUUUUAAUUGCCCAGUGCCCAGUGCGAGCGAGAGAGGGCGAGAGAUGAUACGAACGGCGACGGCGCAUCUCUCGAUUUCUUCGAGUGCCAGCUAUCGGGAACACAGGGAUUACACGUAGUGCCAUCUCCCAGUUGGAGCUUUUGCGUCCAGGACUUCUCUCUCCCGUUCGGGGAGCUUUGUUUCAGUUCCUUGCAGCUCCUUGGCCAGACAACUUUUCCCUUAGCUUUAGAGACACAUCGAAGGCAUCAUCAUCAGCUGCAAUCCAUUUGCGUAUAAAGAAGAAGCCUCGGACAACUCGUUACCAUAUGCCCAGCUCUCGAUUAUUUUUUGCGCGCCAAAAAAAAAGUGGAGAGACAAGCACUUAAGAAAACAACAGGAUGGUGAGGAAGUCCUGAAGACGAGGCCGCCGAAGAAGACAACCCUUGAGCAACCCUUUAUUACGCUUUUCGGCAAGGUCAACUAUCUAUCCGUGUAGGCAAAUUGCAUAUAGGCAAAUCCGAAUCUCCCGUGGAUGCAACCCAACCAUUUAUCAUUUUCUUUCUGUUCUCUUUUUCGUGUGGCCCUCCUGCAAUUUCAAUUUUUGCAAUUUUGCAUGCAGCGGCCGUUAAAAAAGUCUCUGGUAUGCAAUCAGGGCGCUUAUCCUUUGGGUCUUCGGCCCGAAUCCUUUCACUUUCGCUACCUACGAACCGAGACAAGCUGGCAGGGCAAUUCGGAAGUAGAGUUUGCCAAAAUUCCAGCACACACACGCACAUCCUUGCUGUCAUAUGCAAAUUAGCACAGCCAAAAUAGAAAAUUUCUGCGUCCCGCCAAAAAACACAGACCAGCAGCAACCAAAAAAAUAAAGUAAAAAUGCGAACGGAGCACAAAAUGGCAAUUGUUGUCGAAAAGGGUAGAAGAACGACCCAUCGCCCCGUUUUCGGUUUAAAUGCAUUUUUGGUGCGCCUCAUUGGCUUUUGGCAUUGAGGCCCGACGCCCAACUGUCAAUGAGACCGCGCAAAGGGCAAAUAUGCAAAUUAGUUAGCAUUUUUUCCCUUUUAUUUAUUAACUAAUUUAUCUCUGCGGCGCUGUGACACGUCCCAUAGGCAGAGCGAACCCGUCAGGGUCGUGAAUUAUUGGCGAAUGACAUAGAGGAGGUACGAAAAAGCGUUGCAACACCUGGACACAAUUUUUUUUACAACUUUUUUUUUGCCUUUAUGUGGGGUAAGCGUCGCUUUCAACGCUCGUUAAGUAGUUAAGUAGGUUAUGAUAAAGCCGAUUGUAGAAGAAUAGUUCAAAAUGUCCUUAAAUCUACUGGGGUAAAUUUAAGAGCUAUGAACAUGAACAUGUAUAAAUGUAAACUUAGAUAAUAAUAUCCAAAACUCGCUGAAAAUUAUAUAAAUAAGUUAGAAACAAUUUUACCCAUCAGAUAAACAAUAUAUGUUUGGAACAUAAAAUCAGAUCAAUUUUCGUUUUAAAGGCCAAAACUUGCAUCUGCUUAACUCACUUUCGAGAUUUGAGUUUAAUAGUUUGGAUUUUGGUUUCAUUAUUUGGGAAAACUCCAGAUAAAGAGAAAAUCUAGAAAAAUAAAUAAUUCAUUAAGGCGUUAAAUCUCCAUAAACUUCACUUUUGUGUGCUGUCCUCUCACUUUCAAUCGGCUCGAAAUGCAAACCAAAGCACUCAGUCACUGAAAACCCAACCCAAGAAUGAUGGCUGGAAAAUGGAAAAUGUAUGAAAAUUAAAACUCUGUUCACACCCACCGAAGUGGCGACAGGAAAUUCAACGAAAUACAUACAAGCCGGGCGGCAAAGGGAAAAACAUAUGUCAAUAAAAAUCUCUUUUCAUGGAACAUUUGCAUAAUGCAGUCAAAAGGGCAACGCGUUCUCCGACUCUUCCUUUUCCUGUGCCCAGGUGACUGGGACUUCAAACAGAGCCCAAACUUGCAAACUAUGGCACAACUACGGCACGCAUGUUGGUUGGUUUCCUUCGAAAAACAGAAAAACUGAAAAAAACGAUUGCGUCAAACGAUAUCCAUCGCAUUUCGAGGGGUCGUGGCCUUUUAGGCCCAGGGGUGCAUAUCAUUAGCGACAAAAACAGUGGCACACAUUUUCCGACUGACACUUUUUUCCUGGCACACCAAAUGCCUCCUGGCACAUCAAAGGCCAAUCAACUCGUCCAAUUGUUUUUAUGCCCCGAGUUCUUAGUGUUUUCGGUUCUUAUAGGAAGCGGAAGUGAACCCUUCUAACCCCUGACUUAGCCUUUCCACGAACCAUCUGCCCAAGGGGUGGGUUUUUCGACAGUCCGUGGUGAGUUUUCUCUGACCUUGCCAUAAAAAUUGCAAAUUGGAAAGUUUCGCUUAACCAAAUGAAAGAUUGUUUAGACUUUAUAUUUUAUUAUAUUUCAAUAAUGUAUGAUUUUGAUGAAAAACAACAUCAGUUUUACUUUUAUAUUUUUAGUCUACCAGGUAGGUAGGAUUUAAAUAAUAGAAACAUCACAACUUCCUUCAUUAUUGCAUAAUUUCUGUUUUUAUUUACAAGUCUGGUUAAAUGAAUUUUAAUUGAACCAUAAACGCCAUUUUUAUUGCGUAAGUCGCACGCGCCACGCCGAACCAAAUUGCGCAGAAAUUGCAAAUCGCCCAUAAGGCAUAAAUGAAAUUUUUAUAAUCGAAACGAUUGCCGAAAAACGCCCGAAAGUUGCGCAUGCGCCGAAUUUUGUGUUUUUGCCGCUGCCACUGAAAUUGCUUAUACUGUUACUGUUAUUGUUAUUAACUUUAGCUGACAGUGACAGGAGCGAAAAACUCAAAAUAAAAAACUUUGUGCCGACAAAGACUUGACGCCCUGACGUGACAUGGUCAACUUUAAUAUUUUUUUUGGUCGGGAGAUGUGGUCAGGAGUUCUUUGAUCUGCGGGCGGCUGACGGAGGUGGAUAUAGCACGUGCAGAAAGCCUCAGACGGCGAUGGUAUCUACUGAACCACUAUCCUCCAGAGAUGUGGCGAAAAUCAAAAGACUUCGGACACAAACGCGUUUUCAUUGAAACCGCUUUGAGCGCGAUGCUUUACACCUGAUAACCGACCAAAAAAGUAAGGCGAAAUAAAACGCGAAAAAAAUGGAGUAGUCUUUCCAUUGAGACCGCCACAGGACUGUGAUGUAAUCAGACUCUCAACCCCCCGCGCUCCUGCGAUUUGCCGUACGUGAUAUUGUUAAAAGCUUUUAAUUGAAGUCAUCUUCUUGCUCAAAACAGGUAGCUGCCCCCAAAGAGUUGUCUUCUUCUGCUGCCAUCGAUGUCGAGCAUUUUUAUGAUUAAACUAAUUUUUCUUUCCCCCAUAUAGCAGGUGAUGGUUCCCCGAGCUCUCCCGAUAUCCCGCCAUUCCUGUGCGUCCCUCUAGCCAAGUUAUUUUAAUAAACUGCGCGACGUGCCGAGCAUUCUGAAAUGCGAUCAGUUUCAAUUUUAUUAUUGCCGCUGCUGCGGUUGCUUCUGCUUUUCAGCAUUUCUGCUUUUAGAUUAUGUAGUUCCAGCACUUGUAAGUGUUGUUAGAAGCCAGCCCCGAAGAGGAGUGCCCCGGACACGGCUGACCAGGCCCAACGUGCUCAUUUAACAGUAGCCAGCAAACGUUCACAUUUCCCUGUUGUUUGUACCUCUUUGUAUAAUAAUUUAAAGCGGCGUAAAAAUAUUUUAAUGAUAAGAUAUAAUGGCCGUUCAGCUGGCGGAGGCGCUUCGCUUUUGGCCAAGUCAAACAAGGCGUUUAGAAGGGCCUUUUAAGUUGAAGACCGGCGCGGGCUAGGAAUUUUAACUUUGGUUUGGCUAAUAACAUAAUAAAAACCCUUUGAAACGAUGCGAUAGAUAUGAUUCGACAAUUGUAUAACAUGAUUUGAAUUAUUCAAAUUUCUUGCAUACCUCACGGUGCACUAAAGUUAUGAAAGUAUGUUGCAGUUAUUGGCAUUCCUACAAAUAGAUUUUUAGCACGCUUCUCAAAGAAUUAAAAAUUGGAAAGUUUUAUAUUUUUGGUUCCUAUCAUGACUUAUUUGUGCUAUUUUUCUUGUAAACUUCCUCUUUAGAAACACCAUCUAUUAUGCCCCUUUUUAAAAAAUGUUUGCAGUGAUUGUAGGCAACCUGUACACGAAGCUUAUUUAUUUUCCAAUCCUUACCCCCUGAAAUAAUUUAUGCGCUGCAAUGACACUUGCUCAUGACCUUAUCGACGUCGUCAUCGUCAUUGCAGUUGGGCCCGGACUUUGGCAACAACUUUGGCCAGCGGCAUACAUAUUUUUUUGGUUUUUGUUUUUGCUGUGGCCAGACCUAAGCGAAAAACCAAUAACAACAAUUAAGCACAUAUACACGACCAUGCACAACAACAAAGAGCACAGUUUUGCCAUGAAUUGUAUUGUUGCCAUUUUUCUUUAUGGUUUUAUGCGUUUUGGCAUAGAGUUCCAGCCAGAGUCGAAGGAUAGUUGGAUAUUGAGCAAAUAAAUCAAUUUAUUUCAAUUAUAAUUAUAGGCCCGAGUGCAGGCCGAAGCAGAGAGACUCCACUUCUCACUGCAUCCUUCUGCAGUUUUUUAUUUUUUCGUUCGCCUGCGGGUAAUGUUUUUUUCCCCCCUCUUUUUUACUGGGAGCGCGCGUGGCCAACUGCUCAUUACUUUUGUGGCAGCACACGCCCCGUUUUGGUUAUUGAGGCGUAGUUUUGGCCAAUUGUUGAAAAAUGAAAUGGUCUGGCACAUAGUUAUGCCCCGAUAUCGGAUCGGCAUCUCCCUCGCUUCUGGCUAGGCAUUCGUAUGUUACAUGGAGAUGUAAGAAUUCCAUUUUUGAUUUUAAUCAAUAGAAUCGCCGGUUAUUUAUACGCCAGCGCUACUUCACAACUUUAUUUGAAUGCCCCAGGGUUUGCUCUUUGAGCCCUCGAUUCGGUGGGUUUUUUCCUUAUUCGGCAAGGUUGCAAAUUAUAUGCAUUACGCAUACGCAGCGGGGAAGUCCUCCUGCUUCCAACUGCAGUGGCUUACGUUUUGUAAAUUAACUUAUAAGUGAAGCUCAGAAAAACAGGCUGCACCGAUGAGUGCGAUAAGUAAGCGGAAUUACCGAUGGAUUUAAACAACUUGUUAUAAGGUAGGCUCAAAAAUGAAUAAAAAAGAGUUUAUAAACAAAUAUUUAUUGUUUAAAAACUAUUUAAGCUAUUUAAAUAAAACCAUAUUAAUUCAAACAUUAUUUUAUAAUCAUAAUCAAUAAUCAAAUAUGUAAUUGGGUGACAAAUACUUUUCUUAGGUGAACAAAUAACUUAAAAUCAUAUAUGUAUCUAGCCUUUACCUUCUGACAUUCAGUAACCUUUAAGAAAAAGUCAAAGGCAAUCUGGAAUCUUAAUCUGGAAACUGUACUGCACCUGCUAUCCGCCAGUUGUCAACGCCAGUAGCUCGGGACCCAGUCUUCAGAAAUAGUUGUGGCCGUUCCAUAUCUAAAUAUACAAACGUACAGAUACCGGCUGCGAUGCCUUGCCAACCUGUCUCACAUUUCAAAAUACAUAAUUAAGUAUGCACAGCGAGUUUGUUAGAUAAAAAUCUUAAAAACCCUUAAAAAGCUUUAAGCGCCUAAGACACACACACUGGAAAUUAUUCACUUGUAUGGGGCGGGCAAAAGAGACAAACCGAGGAGGCAAUACUUGAUGGAUAACUUGAUAGGUAUCAGAAGAGUUUUUCUCUUUCUGUUGGCGACUUUUUGGUCUUUUUUUCGUAUCAGAGCACAAAACAAGCUAGAAAUACAACAACUAUCACGUAUGCGAUGUAUGAUACAAAAACACUUUGGCGACAAUCAUGGGAACGAUUUUUUUUUUUUUGGAUUUGUGUGCGUCGCUAGCUGCGACCAUUAAAAUGACCAAACCCAAAGAAGAGGUCAGACCGAUAACGAGCGAAAGCUAAAAAGGCAGUUAAGACGGUCUGGCACCUGAUGGUCGUUUUAGCCGAUUUGUAACAGAAAGCUUUCACAUGUGUCUCCAAAAAAAAACUGAAAACCAAACCCAGCCGAUGCCCGGCGACUAAUCAACGACUGAAAUCGAUAAAGUUUCCCAAUGCCAGGGAGACACUGAAGAAACUUAAUUAAAAGGUCUCUGUUAAUGCUGUUAAUUUGAAAAUAUUGUCGAAGGAAACGACCUGACAUACCAGCACACAGACACACACACUAGAUGAGGCUCUCGAAAUCAGACAAAAGAUGCUACGUUAUAAAAUCGUAGAAGAAACGCCAUAAAAAACGGCAGCCAACAGCAUCAACUAAUUUUAUGGCCCCCGCAUUUUGUGUCUGCGUUGACAGACAUCUCGGCGGGAUCGUAUCCCCUCCGGUUUACCACCUGGUUAAUCAGGCCCCAAACGCAGUUGAUCAACAAUUUCAGCCUGAUGACAAACAAGUUCGUUGCCCAACGCAUUUGCUCUAAAUAUUCGGCUAGCAGCAGCACAAACAUCAAAAACCUUUUUCAAUAACAA
Long non-coding RNA from Drosophila simulans, 6475 nucleotides. RefSeq lists it as uncharacterized. NCBI's taxonomy places the organism in Eukaryota, Metazoa, Arthropoda, Insecta, Diptera, Drosophilidae. The transcript has 2 exons. The record is from RefSeq and is a predicted model, not a curated record.